RNAcentral lists this ribosomal RNA (253 nucleotides) under uncultured bacterium. RNAcentral describes it as "partial 16S ribosomal RNA". It matches the Rfam family "Bacterial small subunit ribosomal RNA", at positions 524 to 776 of the family's 1533-position model. The record is from RNAcentral.
UACAGAGGUCCCAAGCGUUGUUCGGAUUCACUGGGCGUAAAGAGCGUGUAGGCGGCUUGGUAGGUCCGCUGUGAAAACUCGGGGCUUAACCCCGAGCCUGCAGUGGAUACGGGCAGACUAGAGGUAGGUAGGGGAGAAUGGAAUUCCCGGUGUAGCGGUGAAAUGCGCAGAUAUCGGGAGGAACACCGGUGGCGAAGGCGGUUCUCUGGGCCCUACCUGACGCUGAGGAGCGAAAGCGUGGGGAGCGAACAGG